UACGUAGGGGCCUAGCGUUGUCCGGAAUUAUUGGGCUUAAAGGGCGCGUAGGCGGCGCGGGAAGUCAUCGGUGAAAGUUCAGGGCUCAACUCUGAAUCGGCCGGUGAUACUCUCGUGCUCGAGCACUGUAGAGGCAGGUGGAAUUCCGGGUGUAGCGGUGGAAUGCGUAGAGAUCCGGAAGAACACCGGUGGCGAAGGCGGCCUGCUGGGCAGUAGCUGACGCUGAUGCGCGACAGCGUGGGGAGCAAACAGG
This 253-nucleotide ribosomal RNA is filed under the name uncultured bacterium. RNAcentral describes it as "partial 16S ribosomal RNA". It matches the Rfam family "Bacterial small subunit ribosomal RNA", at positions 524 to 776 of the family's 1533-position model. The record is from RNAcentral.